AAGGAAGCCGGGCGCAGAGUAGCGGCCGUACAGGAGGGGGAGGGGCAGAAGAGACUGGCCAGCAGCGGAAGCGCGCGGCAGGUGGAGCCGCGCGGGAAGAAGCACGCAUGCGUCGCGGGGGGGUUGGCCCUUGGGGUGCUGGGCGGAGCUUGGGAGGGGCGAGGACGCUGAAGUAGGGGCGGAACCUGUGCGGUGCAGCCCUGCCCUCUCCCUCCGCCCAAAGGUCGCCCAGCGACGGCCUGCUUGACCUGGUUUCUCAAAAAGGGUGACCCCCCCCCUCCGCCCCACGCUGGUCGCGGGUCCUGGCGAGAAGCCUUUCGGAAAGCACCGGGGCCUGUGUGUUCCCGCUUCCUCGGACGCGAGCUCUGUGUAGCCGUGGUGGAGGAAGGUUUUGUUUCGUUCAUCGCUGCUGUUUCUCGCUGCCUCUCUUGACGAGGCAGGGCCCUUGCAGGGUGCGCCCGCGCUGCCCUCUGACAGGUGCUGUUGGUACCUGCGGCCGGGCCCGCCGUCGCCGGCGCGUGAACGGCCUGCCCGAGGCUGCCGGGAGGAGGGCUGCCUGGCCGGCGCGGCCCUUCCCGUCGUGCCCCGGGCUCCUCGGAAGCAGCCUCCCGCUCCUUCAGACGUCGGACUCCUGAGUUUCGAACCUGCCCCGCGGUUUCCCCCUCACGCUGAAUCCAGGGGAGCCGCUACUCGUUUUUGAAGUUCCUAUGCAGCCCUCUCCCGACAUGUUCGAGAAUCUUGCCGGACUGGGGAUGGAUUUGCAGCCUCCGUGUUUGCCCCCACGGUUCGAAAACCGGAAUCUAGGCCCGGUCUCCUGGCCUGUGUUCUGUCGUGGGAUUUCUCCAGAGCACGGACUGACUUAACAUUUCCAUUACUGGGAAUGUAAUGGUUGCUGCGUCAGGACUCUGGAGAUGAUUUUUUUAUUUGGAACGAUAUAAUUUUUGGAAUUUCCUUAAAGGGAAAAAUACAUAUUGCUUAAUUAUA
This 984-nucleotide long non-coding RNA is filed under the name Homo sapiens (human). Its description in RNAcentral is "HSALNT0099006". The record is from RNAcentral. Lineage: Eukaryota; Metazoa; Chordata; Mammalia; Primates; Hominidae.